AACGCGAAGAACCUUACCUGGGCUCGAACGGCUUAAGAACAUCUUUGGAAACAUUGACUUCUCGCAAGAGACUUGAGUCGAGGUGCUGCAUGGCUGUCGUCAGCUCGUGUCGUGAGAUGUUGGGUUAAGUCCCGCAACGAGCGCAACCCUUGUCCUGUGUUGCCACUCCCGUAAGGGAAGCACUCUCAGGAGACCGCCAGCGAUAAGUUGGAGGAAGGUGGGGAUGAUGUCAAGUCAUCAUGGCCUUUAUGUCCAGGGCUACACACGUGCUACAAUGGGCGGUACAAAGCGCUGCAAACCCGCGAGGGGGAGCCAAUCGCAAAAAACCGUCCUCAGUUCGGAUCGCAGGCUGCAACUCGCCUGCGUGAAGCUGGAAUCGCUAGUAAUGGCAUAUCAGAACGAUGCCGUGAAUACGUUCCCGGGCCUUGUA
RNAcentral lists this ribosomal RNA (430 nucleotides) under uncultured Acidobacterium sp. Its description in RNAcentral is "bacterial SSU rRNA". It matches the Rfam family "Bacterial small subunit ribosomal RNA", at positions 958 to 1385 of the family's 1533-position model. The record is from RNAcentral. Lineage: Bacteria; Pseudomonadati; Acidobacteriota; Terriglobia; Terriglobales; Acidobacteriaceae.